Molecule: ribosomal RNA, 312 nt
Filed under: uncultured bacterium
Lineage: Bacteria
Description: bacterial SSU rRNA
Rfam family: Bacterial small subunit ribosomal RNA
Source: RNAcentral
AUUGAACGCUAGCGGGAUGCCUUACACAUGCAAGUCGAACGGCAGCAUAAGAGAGCUUGCUCUCUUGAUGGCGAGUGGCGAACGGGUGAGUAAUGUAUCGGAACGUGCCCAGUAGCGGGGGAUAACUACGCGAAAGCGUAGCUAAUACCGCAUACGCCCUACGGGGGAAAGGAGGGGAUCUGCAAGGACCUUUCACUAUUGGAGCGGCCGAUAUCGGAUUAGCUAGUUGGUGAGGUAACGGCUCACCAAGGCGACGAUGCAUAGCCGACCUGAGAGGGCGAACGGCCACAUUGGGACUGAGACACGGCCCAA